UACGAAGGGGGCUAGCGUUGUUCGGAUUUACUGGGCGUAAAGCGCACGUAGGCGGAUCGUUAAGUCGGGGGUGAAAUCCUGGAGCUCAACUCCAGAACUGCCUUCGAUACUGGCGAUCUUGAGUCCGGAAGAGGUGAGUGGAACUCCUAGUGUAGAGGUGGAAUUCGUAGAUAUUAGGAAGAACACCAGUGGCGAAGGCAGCUCACUGGUCCGGUACUGACGCUGAGGUGCGAAAGCGUGGGGAGCAAACAGG
Molecule: ribosomal RNA, 253 nt
Filed under: uncultured bacterium
Lineage: Bacteria
Description: partial 16S ribosomal RNA
Rfam family: Bacterial small subunit ribosomal RNA
Source: RNAcentral